Long non-coding RNA from Hypanus sabinus (Atlantic stingray), 737 nucleotides. RefSeq lists it as uncharacterized. The record is from RefSeq and is a predicted model, not a curated record. The transcript is spliced from 4 exons. Lineage: Eukaryota; Metazoa; Chordata; Chondrichthyes; Myliobatiformes; Dasyatidae.
ACGGCGCCCCGAGGAGCAACAAUGGAGGAGAGCACAGCCGGAGGAGGGGGACGAAGAGGCGAACGUUCGAGAAGAACAGCCGACAGAAACACAAGACAAAAACAAAGCGAGCGAUGUGAGCCCGGCUUCGCGUCGAAGGGAGAAGAACACUAACGGGUAGCAGGUUCGAGGCGGGGUGGAAGAAAUUUCUAGAAGGGCACUUUACUGACGGUCACUGGAACUUUCUAUGAAGAUUGAUACGGCUCCAGAGAGGAGUUAAUCAUAGGAUAUAAUCCUUAAAGGCGCGAGAGUCUUAAAGUAAUCGUCGUUCACAGGCAAAUGUUAUAUGUUGCCUGAACUGCUAAUUCCUUCAGCAGCUUGUAUUUACUCCAGAUUCCAGCUUCUGGACCUCCAGAUGCAUAAUUUCCAGCAAUAAUUUUCCUGCAAUAAAGGUGGUGUCCGUCGUUAAGUAUCCCCAUCAACCAGGACAUGGCCUCUUCUCGUUUCUACCAUCAGGGAGGAGGUACAGAAACCUGAAGGCACAUCCUCAGUGAUUCAGGAACAGCUUCUUCCCCUCUGCCAUCAGAUUUCUGAAUGGGCAUUGAACCCAUGAACACCACCUCACCACUUCUUUUAUUUCUAUUUUUGCACUGCAUAUUUAAUGAUUUUAUAUAUAUACUUAAUGUAAUUCAUGGUUCUUUUUUCUAUUAUUAUGUAUUGCAUUGUACCUCUGCCGCAAAAUUAACAGAUCUCACAGU